UAGGGAAUAUUAGAGAUGGACGAAAGUCUGAUCUAGCAACACCGCGUGUGCGAAGAAGGCCUUCGGGUCGUAAAGCACUUUUUGGAAGGAAUAGGAAGGAAUGUACUUCCAGAAUAAGUCUCGGCUAACUACGUGCCAGCAGCCGCGGUAACACGUAGGAGGCAAACGUUAUCCGGAUUUACUGGGCGUAAAGCGCGUGUAGGUGGUACUGUAAGUAGGGCGUGAAAGCUCCUGGCUCAACUGGGAGAGGCCGUUCUAAACUACAGAACUAGAGGAUGGUAGAGGGAGGUGGAAUUCUAGGUGUAGCGGUGGAAUGCGCAGAUAUCUGGAGGAACACCGGUGGCGAAGGCGGCCUCCUGGACCAUUCCUGACACUCAGACGCGAAAGCUAGGGUAGCAAACG
RNAcentral lists this ribosomal RNA (402 nucleotides) under uncultured bacterium. RNAcentral's name for it is "bacterial SSU rRNA". It matches the Rfam family "Bacterial small subunit ribosomal RNA", at positions 355 to 774 of the family's 1533-position model. The record is from RNAcentral.